Molecule: small RNA, 58 nt
Filed under: unclassified sequences
Description: Streptococcus sRNA SpF59 (ldcC RNA)
Rfam family: Streptococcus sRNA SpF59 (ldcC RNA)
Source: Rfam by way of RNAcentral
UGACCACUUCCCUUAUAAAGGAUGUUAAGGCCAUACGGACAGCCGGGUCAAAUGCCGA